This 424-nucleotide ribosomal RNA is filed under the name uncultured Ignavibacteriaceae bacterium. Its description in RNAcentral is "bacterial SSU rRNA". It matches the Rfam family "Bacterial small subunit ribosomal RNA", at positions 355 to 776 of the family's 1533-position model. The record is from RNAcentral. Lineage: Bacteria; Pseudomonadati; Ignavibacteriota; Ignavibacteria; Ignavibacteriales; Ignavibacteriaceae.
UGAGGAAUAUUGGGCAAUGCCCGCAAGGGUGACCCAGCAACGCCGCGUGGAGGAUGAAGGCCGUAAGGUUGUAAACUCCUGUUAGAGGAGAAGAAUAGUGCCGAUUGGAUCGGUAUUUGACUGUACCCUCAGAGAAAGCCCCGGCUAACUACGUGCCAGCAGCCGCGGUAAUACGUAGGGGGCAAGCGUUGUCCGGAUUUACUGGGUGUAAAGGGCGCGCAGGCGGGAUAGCAAGUCAGAGGUGAAAUCCUACAGCUUAACUGUAGAACUGCCUUUGAUACUGUUAUUCUUGAGUUCGGGAGAGAGAGACGGAAUUCCAGGUGUAGUGGUGAAAUACGUAGAUAUCUGGAAGAACACCAGUUGCGAAGGCGGUCUCUUGGUCCGAUACUGACGCUGAGGCGCGAAAGCGUGGGGAGCAAACAGG